AGCGAACGCUGGCGGUACGCCUAACACAUGCAAGUCGAACGGCAUCACAGUAAGAGCUUGCUCUUACGGGUGGCGAGUGGCGGAUGGGUGAGGAAUACAUCGGAAUCUACUUUGUCGUGGAGGAUAACUUAGGGAAACUGACGCUAAUACCUCAUACCACCUACGUGUAAAGGUCUGCGGUCUUCGGACUUAUUCCGAUUAAGUUGGCCUAUGUCUGAUUUGCUAGGUGGCGGAGUAAAGGCCCACCAAGGCGGCCGUCCGUAGCUGGUCUGAGAGGAUGAUCAGCCACACUGGAACUGAGACACGGUGCAGACUCCUGCGGGGGGCAGCAGUGGGGACUAUUGGAGGAUGGGCGAAAGCCUGAUACAGCCCUACCGGGUGGAUGAAGAAGGCCCUCGGCUUGUAAAGCCAUUUUGUUGGGAGAGAAAAGCAGCAGGUUAAUACGCCGCUGUUCUGACGGUACCCAACGAAUAAGCACCGGCUAACUUCGUG
RNAcentral lists this ribosomal RNA (492 nucleotides) under uncultured bacterium. RNAcentral's name for it is "partial 16S ribosomal RNA". It matches the Rfam family "Bacterial small subunit ribosomal RNA", at positions 29 to 507 of the family's 1533-position model. The record is from RNAcentral.